AGAACUCCCGAGGCAGGGUGUGUGCCGCGCGCGGGAAACGCCGUUCUCCGCUCCAGGCGUCGGCGGGCGGUGGCGAGAGCAGAUUUUAUAGGUUCAGAAAGUGUGUCUCAGAGGAGUUAGAGAAGACCGAUUAAUAGAUGACAGUGCUAAAGCCUGGAUCUCCUGAAUCCUGGAUGAAAGUGUCCUAAGUUAGAUUCCUGGGAAGAAAAUUCUGAGACACAUUCUGCAGGAUGAUUAUUAGGGCUCAUCCUUGGUUUCAACACCCAUAGAAGGAAGGGGGAAGAAGAAAUCGAACAGAGAGACAGAAGUCGAGAUGCAUUUCAGGCCAGGACUCUUGGCUGAACCCACAGGAGCUCUGGAGCUAGAAUGGCCCUUCAGAGUUGUCCUGAGUUGGUCUGAGAUGGCCAGUUCUUUAUAUUCCUGCAUGGGAUAGUCACUGGAUGUCCACCCCAGGAAGGGGUGUGGCCAAGACAGUCCCUAAAAUGCCCGCCAGCACUCCCUACACCUGGAGCGACAAGACCAACAUCACAGGGGGAAUGCACUGGGUGAUGGAUCACAGCGUUCAUCCCAGAAGAUGAGGAUACAGAAUUGGCUGACAACUACGUUCUAAAUGUCAGUGUUCUCCAAAAUUCAUAUGUUGAAACUUAAUUCCCAAUGUGAUGGCAUUAGGAAGUGGGGCCUUUGGGGGAGGGACUAUAGGUCAUGAGGGUGUAACCCUCAUCAAUGGGAUUAGUGUCCAGAGAGCUGCCUUGCCCUUCCACCAUGUGAGGACAUAGUGAGAAGGUGCCAUCUAUGAACUAGGAAGUGGGCGCUUACCACCAGACACCCACUCUUCUGGCAACUUGAUCUUGAAUUUCCCAGCCUCCAGAACUCUGAGAAAUCAAUUUCUGUUAAUUAUAAGCUACCCAGUCGAUAGCAUUUUGUUAAAGCUGCUGGAACUAAACUAAGACACUGACGCUUUCUGCGACAAAAAGAUAGAGUGAGUCUCUAUAGCAUACCAUGUAACAGAUGUUUUUGGAAAAAUAACCUCAUUUCAUAUGUUUCCUCAAGAUAAAAAGAAUGUCAUAACAACAAAUGAGAAAAUAGUUGCUUUAGAAAUAUUGCACCCUAUGGAGAGAGUAUUUUGGAUUUUGGUUUUUUGUUUUGUUUUUUAACUUUUGUUUUAGGUUUGGGGGUACAUAUGCAGGUUUGUUAUAUAGGUAAACUCAUGUCACAGGGGUUUGUUGUACAGAUAAUUUCCUCACCCAGGUACUAAGCCUAGUACCCAAUAGUUGCUUUUUCUCCUCCUCUCUCUCCUCCCACCCUCCACCCUCAAAUAGGCCCCAGUGUAUGUUGUUCUCUUCAUUAUGUUCAUGAAGUUGAGAGAGUGUUUUGAAAAAGAAUGUUGGAAAGCAUUUCCACUGUUAGAUGAUUUUAAGUCAAAAAGUUAUACAACAGUGUGACCUAUUUGCACACAAGCAUGGACACAGAAUUGUGUCAUAUGUUUAAAACUUUUCUAGAUCCUUUUGUGGUUCAUAAGCUUGAUGAUUGAGUUUUCGCGUCCACAUGUGAGAUGUGCCUCCCUUGAGCCUUGUCAUUGGCACAUUACCUGCCUGAUGUGAACAAUAAAAAUAAAAAAUAAAAAUUUGCUAAGCAGA
Molecule: long non-coding RNA, 1637 nt
Filed under: Homo sapiens (human)
Lineage: Eukaryota; Metazoa; Chordata; Mammalia; Primates; Hominidae
Description: non-protein coding ELOVL2-AS1:13
Rfam family: Small nucleolar RNA U13 (bases 1500-1598)
Source: RNAcentral